ACAGUCACUGACAUUAGAUACCCCUGUAGUCCAGGGUGUAAACGCUGCAGACUUGGUGUUGGAGGCCCUUUGGGGGCAUUCAGUGCCGGAGAGAAGUUGUUAAGUCUGCUACUUGGGGAGUACGUCCGCAAGGAUGAAACUUAAAGGAAUUGGCGGGGGAGCACCGCAACGGGAGGAGCGUGCGGUUUAAUUGGAUUCAACACCGUAAACUCACCAGGGAAGACUGUUACAUGAAGGCCGAGAUGAAGACUCUGCUAGAUUUUCAG
RNAcentral lists this ribosomal RNA (266 nucleotides) under uncultured archaeon. Its description in RNAcentral is "partial 16S ribosomal RNA". It matches the Rfam family "Archaeal small subunit ribosomal RNA", at positions 716 to 982 of the family's 1478-position model. The record is from RNAcentral.